GUGGGGAAUUUUGGACAAUGGGCGCAAGCCUGAUCCAGCCAUUCCGCGUGCAGGAUGAAGGCCUUCGGGUUGUAAACUGCUUUUGUACGGAACGAAAAGCCUCUGGUUAAUACCCGGGGGUCAUGACGGUACCGUAAGAAUAAGCACCGGCUAACUACGUGCCAGCAGCCGCGGUAAUACGUAGGGUGCGAGCGUUAAUCGGAAUUACUGGGCGUAAAGCGUGCGCAGGCGGUUUUGUAAGACAGAUGUGAAAUCCCCGGGCUUAACCUGGGAACUGCGUUUGUGACUGCAAGGCUAGAGUACGGCAGAGGGGGGUGGAAUUCCUGGUGUAGCAGUGAAAUGCGUAGAUAUCAGGAGGAACACCGAUGGCGAAGGCAGCCCCCUGGGCCUGUACUGACGCUCAUGCACGAAAGCGUGGGGAGCAAACAGGAUUAGAAACCCCGGUAGUCC
Molecule: ribosomal RNA, 450 nt
Filed under: uncultured bacterium
Lineage: Bacteria
Description: partial 16S ribosomal RNA
Rfam family: Bacterial small subunit ribosomal RNA
Source: RNAcentral